CAUCGACCGCUACAAUAACCAUUGAAAUCUCCUUAACAGUAAUAAUGAAGUCAUUAAAAGCUGCAAUCACCAGUCAGCCGCACGCCUUCGCCACUCUCUAGUUCGCCGGCUCACCACGCCUUCGCCUAAUCGUCUUCGCAGUGACUUCGCGGCUUCACCUAGUGCCCUAAUCGCCCGUGUAAUCUAAAUUGCAAAGGUAUGCCAAAGUACAAGAACUCACUCGAGUCUGCAAAUAAUUUGUUUUCUUCAAACCCGAUCAUUCUAGGUUGCAGUAAUUAGACAGGAUGGUGAAAAGUUCAUUCAAGCAACAACAUGAACUUGAGAAGAGGCGGAUUGAGGCUGGCCAGAUUAGGGAAAAAUAUUCGAAGAGAAUUCUGGUAUGCCAAGAUAAAAAAGGUUCAUGGAUAUGAGUCGGCAAAUGUCUCAACAACAACAACAACUAUGAUAUUUUUUAGUGGAGGCAAAUGUAAGUAGUUUAAUGUUUUAUUUUAAUAAUAUGGUUUCAACGGAGCUAACUAGUCGGCCUAAAUAAUGCAUGUCUCAUGCAACUGUUAAGAUUCUUCCUUUGGAUGUCACAACUUGUAUUUCU
Long non-coding RNA from Ipomoea triloba (trilobed morning glory), 589 nucleotides. RefSeq lists it as uncharacterized. NCBI's taxonomy places the organism in Eukaryota, Viridiplantae, Streptophyta, Magnoliopsida, Solanales, Convolvulaceae. The transcript is spliced from 5 exons. The record is from RefSeq and is a predicted model, not a curated record.